RNAcentral lists this long non-coding RNA (951 nucleotides) under Musa acuminata (dwarf banana). Its description in RNAcentral is "long non-coding RNA (MACU_LNC004988)". Lineage: Eukaryota; Viridiplantae; Streptophyta; Magnoliopsida; Zingiberales; Musaceae. The record is from RNAcentral.
GCUUGCAUUUUUUGUCAUGCCAAGAACCAUCGCGUCGUACGACGGGAAGCCUUCCCUUUUUUGUUUCUUGCGUUGCCAACUCAUGAGCGACCAGCCUUCCCUCAUGGAUCCAUUACGUUCCGAGACAAGACUGGACCGGCAGCUCUGCUGCCAGUUAAUGGCAAAAGCUACCCGCCUCCUCGCUUACCUCAAGCAUGUAAAACCCCUCCCGAUACGAGCUACUGAGCUACAGAUCUGCCAAAGAUAUUGGACUCACUCAAAUCUAUCUACACGGGGGGAUAAGAGAUACUAACUUUACUCAUGGUCGUCGUCGCCGUAGCAGUAAUCGUAGUAACAGUGAAUAAAGAGACACCUUAACUCCUCUUCGUCGUCGUCGUCGUAGUAAUUGUAGAAACUGUAGAAAGCAGUAACAGUUGGGGUCCGGCACUGUGUGCCCCGAUACGAACGGGAACUUUCACUGUGAGAGCAAGUGGCAUCAUUGGAGAGAGAUGAGAAGGCAGGGGAAAAGAGAAAACAGAAGGCGCGGUUGCCAAGGGGGGUGGUGGCACACUGUGGGUGGAAAUGGCCAUGCCUGGCAAUGGCAAUGGCGGGACCUGUACUGCAGAUACAGUCAUGGGCCCUGAGAAGAGAGACAGAGAGAGAGAGAGGCGCGGUGGAAAGAUUUGCGUUUUAGUGCGCGCUUCGCGGCACAAGGAGACGAAUCGAUGGAGACUGGACCUCUUCCUCCACCACCUCGUCUCUUCCUCUCUCUGGCGCUUCGUCUUUGGUGUCAGCGACUGGUUACGUCGCUCUCCUCUUCCUCGCCGAUCCAAUUACCCUUCUCUUCCUCUCUCUCUCCCUUCCUUGGCUUCGGGGUUCGUGUCUCAUCUUCCUCCACUGCCCCUGCCAUCCACCCUGUUUGGCAGUGCGACUUCUCUGUGGGACCGCUUUGUCUGCUUGUGGGCAUCACCA